GACGAACGCUGGCGGCGUGCUUAACACAUGCAAGUCGAACGGUAAGGCCCCAGCUUGCUGGGGUACACGAGUGGCGAACGGGUGAGUAACACGUGGGUGACCUGCCCCGCACUUCGGGAUAAGCCUGGGAAACUGGGUCUAAUACCGGAUAGGACCGCACCGUGAGGGUGUGGUGGAAAGUUUUUCGGUGUGGGAUGGGCCCGCGGCCUAUCAGCUUGUUGGUGGGGUAAUGGCCUACCAAGGCGGCGACGGGUAGCCGGCCUGAGAGGGUGGACGGCCACAUUGGGACUGGGACACGGCCCAGACUCCUACGGGAGGCAGCAGUGGGGAAUAUUGCACAAUGGGCGGAGGCCUGAUGCAGGGACGCCGCGUGGGGGAUGACGGCCUUCGGGUUGUAAACUCCUUUCACCAUCGACGAAGGUUUUCUGACGGUAGAUGGAGAAGAAGCACCGGCUAACUACGU
Molecule: ribosomal RNA, 463 nt
Filed under: uncultured bacterium
Lineage: Bacteria
Description: partial 16S ribosomal RNA
Rfam family: Bacterial small subunit ribosomal RNA
Source: RNAcentral